This 254-nucleotide ribosomal RNA is filed under the name uncultured bacterium. RNAcentral describes it as "partial 16S ribosomal RNA". It matches the Rfam family "Bacterial small subunit ribosomal RNA", at positions 524 to 776 of the family's 1533-position model. The record is from RNAcentral.
UACGGGGGGAGCAAGCGUUGUUCGGAUUUACUGGGCGUAAAGGGCGCGUAGGCGGCCAGCGCAAGUCAGUUGUGAAAUCUCCGGGCUUAACUCGGAACGGUCAACUGAUACUGCGCGGCUAGAGUGCAGAAGGGGCAACUGGAAUUCUCGGUGUAGCGGUGAAAUGCGUAGAUAUCAAGAGGAACACCUGAGGUGAAGACGGGUUGCUGGGCUGACACUGACGCUGAGGCGCGAAAGCCAGGGGAGCAAACGGG